AGAAGUUUAGGAUAUUCAGUCCAAGAGCCUUCAAAGCCCUAAGAAAACAUCUAAGUUUAACUUCUGA
RNAcentral lists this transfer RNA (67 nucleotides) under Lemniscomys rosalia (single-striped grass mouse). Its description in RNAcentral is "tRNA-Trp". The record is from RNAcentral. Lineage: Eukaryota; Metazoa; Chordata; Mammalia; Rodentia; Muridae.